This 556-nucleotide ribosomal RNA is filed under the name Allobosea sp. S20. Its description in RNAcentral is "bacterial SSU rRNA". It matches the Rfam family "Bacterial small subunit ribosomal RNA", at positions 288 to 860 of the family's 1533-position model. The record is from RNAcentral. Lineage: Bacteria; Pseudomonadati; Pseudomonadota; Alphaproteobacteria; Hyphomicrobiales; Alloboseaceae.
UGGUCUGAGAGGAAUGAUCAGCCACACAUUGGACUGAGACACGGCCCAAACUCCUACGGGAGGCAGCAGUGGGGAAUAUUGGACAAUGGGCGCAAGCCUGAUCCAGCCAUGCCGCGUGAGUGAUGAAGGCCUUAGGGUUGUAAAGCUCUUUUGUCCGGGAAGAUAAUGACUGUACCGGAAGAAUAAGCCCCGGCUAACUUCGUGCCAGCAGCCGCGGUAAUACGAAGGGGGCUAGCGUUGCUCGGAAUCACUGGGCGUAAAGGGCGCGUAGGCGGACUCUUAAGUCGGGGGUGAAAGCCCAGGGCUCAACCCUGGAAUUGCCUUCGAUACUGGGAGUCUUGAGUUCGGAAGAGGUUGGUGGAACUGCGAGUGUAGAGGUGAAAUUCGUAGAUAUUCGCAAGAACACCAGUGGCGAAGGCGGCCAACUGGUCCGAUACUGACGCUGAGGCGCGAAAGCGUGGGGAGCAAACAGGAUUAGAUACCUUGGUAGUCCACGCCGUAAACGAUGAAUGCCAGCCGUUGGGGAGCUUGCUCUUCAGUGGCGCAGCUAACGCUU